AGAGAUAACAAAAGAGAGUAUGAGGGAGAGGGAGAAACAGACUCCCCGCGGAGCAGGGAGCUUGAUUCGAGGCGGGAUCCCCAGACCCCGGGACCAUGCGGGAGCGAAGGCAGACCUUCAACCCACUGAAUCACUGAGGCAUCCUUCCACCUUGUUAAUGCGGCUGCUAGAAAUCUUAAAAUUGCACUUGUGGCUCCCAUUAUAUGUCUGGGUAUGUUACAUCUACGCUCUCCAUGUGGGGCUUGCUGGGCGUCAGACUCUGUGUGGAGCACUUUACAUCCAUUUACUCAUGGAGAUCUUAAAGGAACUGCUUGUGGGAAUGAUCUUGUCUUCCUUCCGCAAGUGGGCAGGCUGAGGCCAGAAGAGGCUGCUUCACACAAAGCUCUCUUUUGGUUGUGGGUAGACCGGUGGCUGGGUUUGGAUCCUCAGUUGGUGGCUGCAGCCAUUCUGUGCUCAAGGGUAACCUACUGCAUAGAACUGUGCCCGGAUUACCGUGGUUGGUGCAGUCCAGCUGCCGUAGCUUUGCAAGGCUGCUACCAGCGAGUGUGGCUCGGAAACCCGGAGAGAAUUCAUUCUGCAGCUACGAUUCACCAGAGGAAGCUGGAACUUCACACACAUACCCCACGUACCAGCUGCCAUUCCAGGCUGGAUCAAGUGAAUCAAGAUUGCGAGACUCUCCAAAUGUCAUCACUCCCUUGA
RNAcentral lists this long non-coding RNA (699 nucleotides) under Mustela putorius furo (domestic ferret). Its description in RNAcentral is "lncRNA (ENSMPUG00000028487.1)". The record is from RNAcentral. Lineage: Eukaryota; Metazoa; Chordata; Mammalia; Carnivora; Mustelidae.